CGCUCCAAAAAGCAUCAUCUCCUCCUCGGUGCAGUCGAUGUCUUCCAGCAGGAUGGCCCAGCGAGCCUGCUCAUACAGCUGGGUCGGAGGAGGGAGAGCUCCUCAGGAUGGCGGAUGUCUGUGGGGAUCAGGAAAGUAAACAGAUGUUUAUUAGCGCUACAAAAUAUCAAAUGUGUUUUAUAUUGAGGAAUGUUAGAGCAAUCCUUCAGUAUUCUAUUUCAUUAGGUUUAGAUUUACUCUUUUAUAGUUGCCACUGGGAUAGCAGAAUACACAGUACAAUAACAGGAUCGAAUCCUUUAUAGUUUACUUCUUAUAAGAUCAAAUGCAAUGGCAGAUCAUAACAAAAACCUAGUCUGCGCUACAGAUGGGUAAAAGCAAGAGAAGAGAUUCACCAAAGCACAACCUUCACAUGGAAAAAUGAAGGUCAACAAUACUAAAAGCUCUUAGAUUAUGAUCAGUUUCUGAUGCCAAGAAUGCUCUGUUUUCUUGAUUAAUAGCUAUAGCAAAACUAUAUUAUAUAAACUCUCCUACUCAAAAUCAACCUUCAGCACUGACGUUCUCUAUUUCACUUAAUCUUAUUAGUUCAAUUCUCUUUAAGUAUUUCAAUGAAUUAUGAAAUUAAAUACCAUACAGAUCAUCCUUCUGAUCCACAUUUAGGUUGGUCAGUUCCUGUGUCCAAAACAAUCAUAAGUAAACUCCUUCUGACUGGUAAUACUUAUUUAUAUGACAUUUGUACAUUUCCCUACAGUGGAGAUGAGUAAAGACUUCAAACCAUUCACUGUCAGAGCAGAUAAGAAACAGGCCUUAACAUGGGAAUGAACUGGUUGGUGCAACAAAAUGUAUGUAGUUUGAUCGGAUGAAGCUAAAACUGAAAUGUUUUUCACAGGCCUGACCAUUGUUAAGUGUGUAAGAAAAGUCUGAGAGCAGGAACUUAAUUGUGAAAUCUGGGGGUGGCAGCAUCAGGCUGUGUGGGUGUUUUACUACAAGAAGAACAGUUUUCCUUCUCAAAAUAAAUGCCGUUAUGAAGAAAGGACAUUGUUUUUUGGAAAUAUUUAUCAUACAUCUGAAGAUGUUGGCCAGGAAUUUGCAGGUUGGGCACAAAUUAUACAUUAUACAUUCAAAUGAAUUAAAAAGUAGCUUAAAGACAAAAAUAUUCUCAUUUUGUAAGUAUGAUUACAACAUUGCAUCCAUGACCUCAAAUCAGGAGGUCAUACUUAAGUAACAUUUCAGCGCCCCAAAGGCUGUGUCAUUUUCUGUGUUAAAUGUCAGUUUUUAGAUGAGGUCCGUGACUGGAUGUCAGAUCAUACGUGAUUAAAGAAAACUGGUGAAAAAAUGUCAGUAUGUUCUUCAUAAGUUUUUUUUUUUUUAAAUUAUGAAACAAAUCUCACCAUUCUGGGCAAUUUUAGUAGGUGCAAUAGUGUCAGGUUCCAGCCACACUCACAAUGUUCAUACAUUCGGGCACCAACUGGUAGUCAACUUCCAGCUUAA
Long non-coding RNA from Poecilia latipinna (sailfin molly), 1488 nucleotides. RefSeq lists it as uncharacterized. Lineage: Eukaryota; Metazoa; Chordata; Actinopteri; Cyprinodontiformes; Poeciliidae. The record is from RefSeq and is a predicted model, not a curated record. The transcript is spliced from 2 exons.